RNAcentral lists this long non-coding RNA (1844 nucleotides) under Hordeum vulgare. Its description in RNAcentral is "long non-coding RNA (HVUL_LNC007508)". Lineage: Eukaryota; Viridiplantae; Streptophyta; Magnoliopsida; Poales; Poaceae. The record is from RNAcentral.
CUAUGAGGAGAACCUUAUUGGCUCGGACAUCAUAUUUUUUAGGUAGGUAAUCUUUAUUUCAUUAUUAUCAGUUAAUAUUCCUGAGCCUAAGAAAUAGUACUAUGGGGAGAAUCAGGCAACACCUAAUAUGUAUGUCGUUUGAGAAAAAUGAAACUUCCUACUUCCCAACGGUCGGUUACGUAUGUACAUGUACAAAGCACCGUCUUAGACAAAUAUAUCAUUCACCAAGUUUAGUGAAAGUUAGCUUAAAUACCAUGUAUUUUUCCGCACGCAGAUUAUUGCCUACUGUAGGCCAUCCUCUAUAUAUAUAUGAUAGUCUAAUAAUAGUCAAGCAUGACAAAAAACUUCACUCCGGUAAUUUCGUUGCUCCAUAAGAGCUAACAAUUGUUAAAAAAACAAAUCACAUACUCCAUGUGUCCCAAAUUAAGUAACUCAACUUUGUACUAACUUUGUAAUGAUUUCAUCUCUUUCUAGGAAUAGGCACUGUAUUUUCACUCUUAUGCAAAAAGACUUUAAAUCACGAUUUUUAUUUUAUUUUUCAUGAUAUUCAGAGGAAUGUUAGCUUGAGUACCAUACAGAGGGUGACGCAAGUGGUACUUGACAUACCAUGGCGUCCAAUGUCUAGGUUAGCAGACCCACAUGAUGUUUUGCUCUUUGCGUUCUGUACAUCAGCAAUGGACAAGAGCAAUGAUGGAGUCCUAAGAAAGAACCCAAAAAUAACUGCACUGUCUUAUUCACAUUUGAGGGCAAAACUACUUCAAGGAAUGAGGUUAAGCAAAGAUCGGUGCUCAAGAUGUUACGAGACACUUCUCAUGCAUGUUGAUAUUCUCCUUUUUUGAGUUUCCUUUAAGGUGCAGUAUUUUGUUUUAUUUGUUAUACAAAAUAGUGCAGCUGUUUGUGAUUUGAUAUGAAGGCAUGUAAUUCCUUGGAAAACUCCCACACUAUAUUUUGAUCCAAGUUCAGUUGUACUGAUGUCGAUUAAUACAUUUACAGUACAUUAUUAAUCUCUUUGUCGUAACGCGACAUGUCACCACUCAGUCUAUUUACUGUACAACACUAUUGAUCUUGAUUCAAUCAGGACCGAAAUGGUGCAAGCAAAGGAUCUUUUUGAAUGGGAAACAAUAGGAGAGUGUCAGAAUUAUAUUAAUAUACUAUUAAAUAAAGUAUAGCAUAAGGAUCUUUGGAAGAAAUCUUUGUAAUAAUAGACAUUUAAGGAAAACAUAAGGAAAUAAGCUAUAAGUUGUUGUAUCCAUAAAUUGAACUGAUUGAGGUGUUUGUUCUUGACUCUACCUGUCGAGAUCAUACUUAAGACCCCUCUUCCACUUCUGUAUCUAAGGGCUUUCAUCCUCAGAAGUCUUCCCAUUCAUACACUAUAUAUUCCAGCAGCUCAAAACGAAAUACCCCACUGCAAAUGUUUCCCUUAUGGAAUCACGGGCUAAGGCCACUUUAACAAAAACUGAUAUAAAUCUAUGCCUAUUGGGGAUGAAUUCUUACCAACAUUCUAUAGCAAAAGAACAGUCCCAAAGGAAGUGUGGGUUUGUUUUUUCUGACUUAUCUGGGCAUAGAACAUUCUACAUGUAUGCCUAUUCUAGGAAGAGAAAGAAUUUCCUAUGCAGUAGAUUGCCAGGUAUAUUUUGAAAUGUAAUUCCUUAUUUUUUUGCAAGGAGGUUUACAUAGAUUUAAGAUUAUUCAUUAUUAUUCUAAGAAUUCUGAAUUUGUGUUUUCUAUUUAAUUAUCCUAACUAUUCUCUUUUGGUGCAUUCUUCAUUUGCCAUUCUCAUCUAAUAUCAUAUAGUAUGUUUUUGUUCCUAUGUGAAACUAAUAAUUCACAUCUCUACCUUAUAC